RNAcentral lists this ribosomal RNA (531 nucleotides) under uncultured bacterium. Its description in RNAcentral is "bacterial SSU rRNA". It matches the Rfam family "Bacterial small subunit ribosomal RNA", at positions 28 to 526 of the family's 1533-position model. The record is from RNAcentral.
GACGAACGCUGGCGGCGUGCCUAAUACAUGCAAGUCGAGCGAGCGGAACCAACAGAUUUACUUCGGUAAUGACGUUGGGAAAGCGAGCGGCGGAUGGGUGAGUAACACGUGGGGAACCUGCCCCUAAGUCUGGGAUACCAUUUGGAAACAGGUGCUAAUACCGGAUAAUAAAGCAGAUCGCAUGAUCAGCUUUUGAAAGGCGGCGUAAGCUGUCGCUAAGGGAUGGCCCCGCGGUGCAUUAGCUAGUUGGUAAGGUAACGGCUUACCAAGGCGACGAUGCAUAGCCGAGUUGAGAGACUGAGCGGCCACAUUGGGACUGAGACACGGCCCAAACUCCUACGGGAGGCAGCAGUAGGGAAUCUUCCACAAUGGACGCAAGUCUGAUGGAGCAACGCCGCGUGAGUGAAGAAGAUUUUCGGAUCGUAAAGCUCUGUUGUUGGUGAAGAAGGAUAGAGGUAGUAACUGGCCUUUAUUUGACGGUAAUCAACCAGAAAGUCACGGCUAACUACGUGCCAGCAGCCGCCGUAAUAC